CAGAGUUUACAUAUGCUAGGCACUUUAUGAAUGCUGGCUCAUUUAUUCCUCAUUACAAAGAUAUUCUCAUCUGUGUUUUACAGGUGAGCCUAUGGUAGCUCAGAGAAGUUAACUCACCCAAUGUCACAGAGCCAGGAGGUGACAGAACUGAGCAGCUGGGAUUUGAAUUGCACACUGAAGACUUGUGCACUUUACUGUAGGGACACUAUGCCUCUGCUUUAGAGACACGCACGAUGGUUGUACGUGUAUUGGUUGUCGACCCUGGUGACCGUGUGGCUGAGCUGCCCAACAUCACGAGAGAGCAUCUUACGACCUAUCGCCAGCCCAGGAAAAGAUCAAACCUCCAACUACAGUUUCUACCGAAUGCGUACUGCUUUCUUGCCAUGAUUUUGAGCUUCUGGAAGCAGGGACAGCCAUGGAUGCAUUUAAAAAAGACAUUUCUGAAUCUCCAGGGCUUAUCCCAGGACCUGGCACACAGCAUGUGCUUAAUAACUCCUUGUUACAUGAAUACACCCAUGAUACAUUUUGCUUCAAAUGUUGCCAGUGAAAAAAUUUCAAAGAGGUAUGUGUAUGCUCCUUUGCUUUUCUCUGACAAUAAAAUAGAGAUAAUAAUCACUCACUGCCAUUCUGACACUUAGCAGAGCGCUGUGCUGGGAGAAUGGAUGUGAAAGAAUAAAGGAUAAAGUCAAAGAAUUAAGUACAAAAAUACACAAGAGCUUUCAGACUGACUUUGAUAAUAAAAGGUAACGUGCACUGAGCAUUUACUAUGUUCCAGGUACGGAAUUAUCAAAUUUAUUUCUCAUAACAGCCCAAUAAGGUAGAUAAUAUUGUCUCAAUUUUACAUGUGAGCGAACCGAAUUUUAGAGUGCUUACAUGAUUUGUCUGAGGUCAAACAACGGGCACGCCUGCAGCCAGAACCUUAAUUCAGACUUUCUGAAUUCAGGGUCCACUCUGGGGAAGAUGCUCUAUCUGGACUCAUCAGUAAAGACAACGUGCUCCACUUACGUGAGAAAAGAGACAAAUGAUAAGCAAAGGGCGAAGAUUUCGUCAAAUUCUCUACUUCCUCAGUUUACCUUUGUUUAGUGCACAACAGAGAAAAACGAAAAAAACAGAUUAUUGAGAGUAUCUACCCGAUUGCCUUUGCUAUC
Molecule: long non-coding RNA, 1148 nt
Organism: Leopardus geoffroyi (Geoffroy's cat)
Lineage: Eukaryota; Metazoa; Chordata; Mammalia; Carnivora; Felidae
Exons: 3
Source: RefSeq, a predicted model, not a curated record